Molecule: ribosomal RNA, 450 nt
Filed under: uncultured bacterium
Lineage: Bacteria
Description: partial 16S ribosomal RNA
Rfam family: Bacterial small subunit ribosomal RNA
Source: RNAcentral
GUGGGGAAUAUUGGACAAUGGGCGAAAGCCUGAUCCAGCCAUGCCGCGUGUGUGAAGAAGGUCUUCGGAUUGUAAAGCACUUUAAGUUGGGAGGAAGGGCAGUAAGUUAAUACCUUGCUGUUUUGACGUUACCGACAGAAUAAGCACCGGCUAACUUCGUGCCAGCAGCCGCGGUAAUACGAAGGGUGCAAGCGUUAAUCGGAAUUACUGGGCGUAAAGCGCGCGUAGGUGGUUUUGUAAGUUGGAGGUGAAAUCCCCGGGCUCAACCUGGGAACUGCCACCAAAACUGCAUGACUAGAGUACGGUAGAGGGUAGUGGAAUUUCCUGUGUAGCGGUGAAAUGCGUAGAUAUAGGAAGGAACACCAGUGGCGAAGGCGACUACCUGGACUGAUACUGACACUGAGGUGCGAAAGCGUGGGGAGCAAACAGGAUUAGAAACCCGUGUAGUCC